This 496-nucleotide ribosomal RNA is filed under the name uncultured bacterium. Its description in RNAcentral is "partial 16S ribosomal RNA". It matches the Rfam family "Bacterial small subunit ribosomal RNA", at positions 28 to 507 of the family's 1533-position model. The record is from RNAcentral.
GAUGAACGCUGGCGGCGUGCCUAAUACAUGCAAGUCGAGCGAACGGACGAGAAGCUUGCUUCUCUGAUGUUAGCGGCGGACGGGUGAGUAACACGUGGAUAACCUACCUAUAAGACUGGGAUAACUUCGGGAAACCGGAGCUAAUACCGGAUAAUAUUUUGAACCGCAUGGUUCAAAAGUGAAAGACGGUCUUGCUGUCACUUAUAGAUGGAUCCGCGCUGCAUUAGCUAGUUGGUAAGGUAACGGCUUACCAAGGCAACGAUGCAUAGCCGACCUGAGAGGGUGAUCGGCCACACUGGAACUGAGACGCGGUCCAGACUCCUACGGGAGGCAGCAGUAGGGAAUCUUCCGCAAUGGGCGAAAGCCUGACGGAGCAACGCCGCGUGAGUGAUGAAGGUCUUCGGAUCGUAAAACUCUGUAUUAGGGAAGAACAUAUGUGUAAGUAACUGUGCACAUCUUGACGGUACCUAAUCAGAAAGCCACGGCUAACUACGUG